RNAcentral lists this transfer RNA (75 nucleotides) under uncultured phage cr44_1. Its description in RNAcentral is "tRNA-Ile". It matches the Rfam family "tRNA". From Rfam's summary of the family: Transfer RNA (tRNA) molecules are approximately 80 nucleotides in length. Their secondary structure includes four short double-helical elements and three loops (D, anti-codon, and T loops). Lineage: Duplodnaviria; Heunggongvirae; Uroviricota; Caudoviricetes; Crassvirales; Steigviridae. The record is from RNAcentral.
ACUCACUUAGCUCAGUAGGUUAGAGCAGGAAUCUUAUACAUUCAAGGUCAAUGGUUCAAGUCCAUUAGUGAGUAC